Molecule: ribosomal RNA, 484 nt
Filed under: uncultured bacterium
Lineage: Bacteria
Description: partial 16S ribosomal RNA
Rfam family: Bacterial small subunit ribosomal RNA
Source: RNAcentral
AUUGAACGCUGGCGGCAGGCCUAACACAUGCAAGUCGAGCGGAUGAAGGGAGCUUGCUCCUGGAUUCAGCGGCGGACGGGUGAGUAAUGCCUAGGAAUCUGCCUGGUAGUGGGGGAUAACGUCCGGAAACGGGCGCUAAUACCGCAUACGUCCUGAGGGAGAAAGUGGGGGAUCUUCGGACCUCACGCUAUCAGAUGAGCCUAGGUCGGAUUAGCUAGUUGGUGGGGUAAAGGCCUACCAAGGCGACGAUCCGUAACUGGUCUGAGAGGAUGAUCAGUCGCACUGGAACUGAGACACGGUCCAGACUCCUACGGGAGGCAGCAGUGGGGAAUAUUGGACGAUGGGCGAAAGCCUGAUCCAGCCAUGCCGCGUGUGUGAAGAAGGUCUUCGGAUUGUAAAGCACUUUAAGUUGGGAGGAAGGGCAGUAAGUUAAUACCUUGCUGUUUUGACGUUACCAACAGAAUAAGCACCGGCUAACUUCGUG